Molecule: transfer RNA, 80 nt
Filed under: Podarcis lilfordi (Lilford's wall lizard)
Lineage: Eukaryota; Metazoa; Chordata; Lepidosauria; Squamata; Lacertidae
Description: tRNA.Ile
Source: RNAcentral
GCAAAUAUAGCUCAGUUGGCUAGAGCGUGGUGCUGAUAAUGCCAAGGUUGCAGUUUCAAUCCUCGUAAGGGACAGCUGCA